Molecule: non-coding RNA, 3902 nt
Organism: Meleagris gallopavo (turkey)
Lineage: Eukaryota; Metazoa; Chordata; Aves; Galliformes; Phasianidae
Source: RefSeq, a predicted model, not a curated record
CGAGCAUUAUGAAAAUCUUGCAGAAAUGGAUAUGUGGGCCUUAGCAGUAAUGUGAACGUUUAUGCAUACAACCUACGGGGUAACUUCUCAGCCCAGCAGAGUAGUGAGCAAGCAAGCUGGAGCGAAAUGACAGCCUGAAAUAGCACAGCUGCCCAUCUAAGGUCAGACACUUCUUAUCUACCUUCUAUUUAUCUAUUUUCAGAGGUGUGUUUUACAUAUUCCUACACCACACUCACUCUGCAAGGCACAUCAGAGGGGACUGGUUUGUGGUUACACUGAGCAGAGCGGUGCAGCAGCACUCCUAGGCUCAGGGCUUUCUGCUGAACAUCCUGUUAGUCCAGAGCUCACACACCUGCAAGAAAUGCAAGCAGCCCUGCUGAUUUGCAGGGCUGAAUUCAAUUAGCUCCUAGCUGCUUAUAGGCAGUCUCAAAGGCAGGUGGAAGAGUGGUAUGGCAGUGAUUCUGUGCUGGAGCUGAACUGGGAGGAUUCUUUGGAUAACUCAGACUCACAAAGAUCAGAAAGGUUAAUUCUCUCUCAUUAUAAAGAGGUGAAUCAGUCAACCAAGGAGGCAGCUGAGAGCCAGAGCCAUCAUAAGGGAAGCGGUGGGCAAGCAUGGAACAAUGUGCUGAGCAGGACAGUCAUGCAGCAGCACAGACAGGAGAGCAUCCAUUUUCCUCCACCUCUGAGCCUCUCCUUCACUCAGCUUCUCUUCUCAGCUGCUCUCCAGUCAGCCCAGAGGGAGCCUUUGAUGGCUAGCUGCUCAUCACUGCAAGUUUACUGCCCACAUAUCUUUCAUCAGUGCCAAAGUCAGAUGAGGUAAGAACUAUUUAAAUUGGCAAGAACAUGCCCAUGUGAGCAAGACCAGAAGCAGGGGAUUCUUAUCUCUCAGUGAACUAAUACAGACCACACCUAUGCUUGAGUCAUGAAGCUGGUGUGGACACAGUCCAGCUAACUCUAAACUAGCUGAUUCAGAUGCUAAUGGCAACAGAGCUACAGAACAUGCUCUAGUCUCCAAAAUCCAUGCAAGGCCUCUACCUGUCUCGUCUCCAUACAGCUAUCAGUGCAUCAGCUGCAGUCAAAGCUUUAAGGCUGAACUACAGACAUGUCUUUCCAGAAUGGCUUAUGAAGAGAUGCUCUGUUGCAUUUGCCCUCCAUUUUCUUCUUUUCUUUGUUUUGUUUUACUAUUAUAAGACAAAAUAAACCACUUCUACCAAUGACAGUCCAGCUAACCAUCUUCAACAACUCAUUAAAGAACAGGAAGGUUGAUACGGCCUCAUUCUCAUUCAACCGUCUUUUCUUCCAGUCCCAUUCCAUCCUUGCUGUUAGUAUUUUCUAAAUUAGGGUGUGCUCACUGGUCACUUAUUUACAUGGAUGAAAAGGCUGCUGCUGAUGUGAAAUGUGCUGCUGCUUGAUUGCUUCCAUUGCUGGGAGAGUGGAGCCAGCUCAGACCUAGGCAGGCAGAUAAGCUGAGUUCAUGGGGAGGAGGCUAUGGACUGGAAAGGAGCCAACAAGAUAGUAUGACAUGGCACAAGGUACAAAAAGACACUUGAUCUGACUGGGAAGCAAGUGGCAGGCAAGCUGUUGUGAGUAAUGAUAGAGAGAGACGUUCAUAACAAAUGGCACCCUUUGAAGCAGGCCUAGCGAUGGACAUCCAGUUGGCCAAUGGGGGUCUCCCGUAGUGCAAAGCUCUGGAAAUAGCACACACUGAGUCAGAUGGGUGAGAGAGAGCAUGGAAAGAAGAGCAGAUCUGGUCAUGACAAAUGAGUCCUGAAGGAUUCAUGGCAGUCUAAUGGGAACAUAUGCAAUGCACUGUGUUUAUGAGUAGAGACUGGGAGGGCUGCACAUGUAAAGAACCAAGAGCUGGCUUCUGUUCUAGGGGAAGAGGAGGAAAGCACUGAACAGCUGUGAGGAAAUCAUGCCACAGCUAUCUGAUUUUAAGGGCAAUUUUACAAGUGAACAUACAACUGGCCUGACUCUUCCUUCAGUUACUUUGAAAUCAAUGCAGUUAUGUCAACAAAAGCUGAACUAAACUUGGUGUUCCUCUGGAUCUUCCCAAGCAAACUCCAGCUGGUGGGGUAUGAAAACAAACUGAAGAACUGACAGAAAAUGGGAACAGGAAAAGUAUCAAUUUCAUUUAGUAACAGGAGGAGAAAGGCGUUGACACAUGAGGAAACAUCAAAAGAACUUACGUACAUGUGGGCUAAGAAAUAAAGUUGGUAAUAUCUUAAAAACUGCUUCCUUGACCUGUCCGAACUGAUCCAAGAUUACAUCAGGGUGUGGAAGACCAAGAAACUGAAUCAGUGUUAGACUAUUACCUACACUCUAACCUGAAGAUGAAAUAGAUAAAAUUGGAGUAAAUUUAAUGAUAUCACCUAAAAAUAGAGACUCCAGCUGCAGGAGCUGCUGAAGAGAUAUAACAAGAUAUCCAGAUGAUAUCAGUUUAAAAAUGAUGUAAUUGCACCAUUGUUUUAGCUGUCAGUUCUCUGCCAUCUGUUGUGCAUUUGUAGUGCAUUUUCAUAGAAAAGCUUUUUUUUCUUUUGUCAGAUAGACUCAAACCAAGGAAAGGAAACCAAGUCCAUCUGGGAGCCUACGUAUGAGAAAACACAGUUUCCAUUUUCUUGCUUUGCAGUUAAAGAAAGAAAAUUGCUAAGCUUGCUUUCUUUUGUCCACUGUUCUUGUGCUGAUCACAAAAGUCUACGUUGCCCUAAACCUCUCCAGUUUCAGAGUUCAAGCUAUCCCUACUCCUGCCCCAGUUGUGAGGAGGCAACUGCAAAAGAGAAUGUAGGUUUUACCAAAGUGAAAGGACCCACCAGCAGAAAGAAGGAGCAGUUCCCUACGCAUUCCAGGUACAGCACAAAUCUGAUGUUGAGUUUAAGGUUAAAUAAAUCCCCAUUUAUGGAAAAGCUAAGUUCCUACGCUUCCAAGUCUCUUCACGCUUCAGCUUGUUGGGGAGGCCAGAAAGAAUGGAGGUUUUACGAGGGUUGAUAUGCUCUUUAUCACUGACAUUUCAUACCCUGGCUGAAAACGUUGCAGCAAGUGCAAUAAAACACUUGUAAAUACCCCAGAAUGAGGAUCAUUACAGAUGGCACUGAUAUGCACCAGGCUCACGUGGAAGUUCUUGUAUCACUGCAUGAAGGAAAAUGAAGAAGAUAGGAAUGAUAAGCUUGAAGUUUUCCUGAGCCUAUGUGACAGGCUCUGAAGCCAGCUGCUUGUGUGAACUGGUUAAAAGAAAACCACCACCAACAAAACUCCAUGUGCAGAUGAGCCAAACCUGUGAAGAAAAUCAGCAUCAGUGCUUACAUAACCUAACAUAUGCCCAGGUGAAACGUGUUAUUGCCCCAUUGCUACUCUGAGAAGCAGAAGGGUGUUGGAGUGGGAUGGUCCCUACCAACUCCAGCUGCUACUGGUGGGACUCUCAGCUACAAAAGCAAGUUUUUACUGUGUGAGGUUUGAGUGAGGCAUCUGUUUUCUCAAAUAGUGUAAGUCUUGGCACACACGGUUUUAUUUCAGAACUAUACAGCCUUACAGUUGGCAAAUAAGUGCUUUUUGUCCAGAUCUGAACUUGGAUGGCUGGAACAUGCAUCACUUGUAUUCUCUUGAGCAAAGCCAUGUUUUGCUUUCAGUAGUGCUGUUUUACCCUCCUGAUGAGUUUCAGCCCCGUUUCAUGUUGAACAGGUAAAUCAGAUCUGAAAGGACAUCAAAAGCGACCUCCUAAUGCUGAAGCUUCAAGUAUCACUCAAAAAAACUCAAUGAAUGUAUGAAAGAGAUGAAAAGCCUAGCUUUCCUUGGGUGCUUCUUGCUGCUGAGGAAGGCUUAUGCUAUUUCCAGCCAUCUCAAACCAAGUGUAAAUAAACUACAUUGUUUUCCAUCACUUGAGACAGUUCUUCUCUCCCCAGCAUUAA